UACGGAGGGAGCUAGCGUUGUUCGGAAUUACUGGGCGUAAAGCGCACGUAGGCGGCUUUGUAAGUUAGAGGUGAAAGCCCGGGCUCAACUCCGGAACUGCCUUUAAGACUGCAUCGCUUGAAUCCGGGAGAGGUGAGUGGAAUUCCGAGUGUAGAGGUGAAAUUCGUAGAUAUUCGGAAGAACACCAGUGGCGAAGGCGGCUCACUGGACCGGUAUUGACGCCUGAGGUGCGAAGCGUGGGGAGCAAACAGGA
Molecule: ribosomal RNA, 253 nt
Filed under: uncultured bacterium
Lineage: Bacteria
Description: partial 16S ribosomal RNA
Rfam family: Bacterial small subunit ribosomal RNA
Source: RNAcentral